GAAUUUGAUCUUGGUCAGGAUGAACGCUGGCGGCGUGCUUAACACAUGCAAGUCGAACGGAGAUGUCCCGCUGACGAAGCUUCGGCAGAGUCUUGGGGCAUCUUAGUGGCGGACGGGUGAGUAACGCGUGGGUAACCUGCCUAUCACAGGGGGACAACAGUUGGAAACGACUGCUAAUACCGCAUAAGCGCACGGUGCCGCAUGGCACAGUGUGAAAAAGAUCUAUCGGUGAUAGAUGGACCCGCGUCUGAUUUAGCCAGUUGGCGGGGUAACGGCCCACCCAAAGCGACGAUCAGUAGCCGAACUGAGAGGUUGACCGGCCACAUUGGGACUGAGACACGGCCCAAACUCCUACGGGAGGCAGCAGUGGGGAAUAUUGCACAAUGGGGGAAACCCUGAUGCAGCGACGCCGCGUGAGUGAAGAAGUAUUUCGGUAUGUAAAGCUCUAUCAGCAGGGAAGAAAAUGACGGUACCCGACUAAGAAGCCCCGGCUAACUACGUGCCAGCAGCCGC
RNAcentral lists this ribosomal RNA (513 nucleotides) under uncultured bacterium. RNAcentral's name for it is "bacterial SSU rRNA". It matches the Rfam family "Bacterial small subunit ribosomal RNA", at positions 9 to 518 of the family's 1533-position model. The record is from RNAcentral.